GUAGUCUGCAACUCGACUACAUGAAGCUGGAAUCGCUAGUAAUCGCGAAUCAGAAUGUCGCGGUGAAUACGUUCCCGGGUCUUGUACACACCGCCCGUCACACCAUGGGAGUCGGAUAUGCCCGAAGUCAGUGACCCAACCAUAUGGAGGGAGCUGCCGAAGGUGGAGCCGAUAACUGGGGUGAAGUCGUAACAAGGUAUC
Molecule: ribosomal RNA, 201 nt
Filed under: uncultured bacterium
Lineage: Bacteria
Description: partial 16S ribosomal RNA
Rfam family: Bacterial small subunit ribosomal RNA
Source: RNAcentral